RNAcentral lists this ribosomal RNA (330 nucleotides) under Pluteus hongoi. Its description in RNAcentral is "eukaryotic LSU rRNA". The stretch from base 1 to 93 matches the Rfam family "5.8S ribosomal RNA", at positions 62 to 154 of the family's 154-position model. The record is from RNAcentral. Lineage: Eukaryota; Fungi; Basidiomycota; Agaricomycetes; Agaricales; Pluteaceae.
GUAAUGUGAAUUGCAGAAUUCAGUGAAUCAUCGAAUCUUUGAACGCACCUUGCGCUCCUUGGCAUUCCGAGGAGCAUGCCUGUUUGAGUGUCAUUAAAUUCUCAAUCCCUACAAUCUUGUGUUGUUUGGUGAAUUGGAUUAUGGGGGUUUGCUGGCCUUGUUCAGCUCCCCUUAAAAGCAUUAGCAGGACAUUAUGCCAUCUGUGCUUUGUAUGAUAAUUAUCUAUACACUGUACUGAUUGUGCACAACUGCUUCCAACUGUCAUUUCUGACAUUUGACCAAUUUGACCUCAAAUCAGGUAGGACUACCCGCUGAACUUAAGCAUAUCAA